UGCGGCGCAGAGCCAGAGGGCGCGGAGCCCGGGUGCGCUGGGCAUCGCGGCGGCCGGGAGGGCGGCGGGCACCGGUGGCGCACAGUCAGAGAGGAGCAGGCAUCGCUGCUUGGUCUUCACUCCUGGGUUUCACGGGUUGGGCUUGGCAGGGGAGGGCGGAGCCACGGAACUUUCUCGCCUCUCGCUCCCCUUCCCUCCUUCCCUCCGAGCUGGCAGGAAUUUCAUCCAGGAAAGAAAAAAAUCCGGGAAUUUCAUUUCAACCCGGAGAGCGGAGAGCGGGUCCUGCAGGCGUUUGGGCUGCGGGCUCAGGACCCCGUGCCAGAGCGGACAGCCUCGGGGCCACAGGGGAUCGGAGGAGGGCCCCGGAAGCACCUUGUUUGCUCGAGGUCACCCACUUGGGGGGGGGAGCAGCCCCAGAAGUACAACUCGGGGUCACCCGCCGCAGCCUGGCUCCUGGGGAGGGGAGCGAGGGGUUGUCUCGCCAGGUGGGCCGUGAAGGGCCGGAGCCGCGGGGCGGGUGGAGGUCGGGUGGCUACAGGAGGAGACUUCCAGCCGAGCCCCAGGCCCCCCACUAGAGAAGGUGUGACGUCCACUCACAAAGCGUCUUGCACGCGGCCCCAGUCAGGUGGGAGCCCGGGAGCCCUGGACCCUGCUCCCGGGAUGGAGCCAGGCGCCCGGCUGGGGGACGCGCCCACCUGGCGGUCCGGACCGGCCCGAGUCGGCAGUCUGGCGCCACCUGGAGGCCAGUCCGGCAGCUGCAGCUCCACCAGCCUGAGGCUGGAAGGGCCAGGCGGGAGGCUUGAGGGCGAGAGACGGUGGCUGAUGCUGGGCUCAUCCCGGCGCCGGGCCAAGCCCAGGGUGGAGUGAGAGCCGGCCGCGUCUCCUGACCUUACUCUCCCCACACGGUCCAUCCUGAGUGUACAGCGGCAGCCUGAAAGCCUCAGCGCAGCCAGUGGCCCUUCAUCCAGAACCGUCACCCCCACAGGGCCACUCAUCACCCCCCUCCCAUUCUCUGCUACUGCUCUCACCUCCCGGGCCCCAGGGGCUGCACGGCUGGGCCAGGAAGGCGGAAACCAAACCAACCGUUGCCCUCUGGGGUGUGGGGCUCGGCCCUGACGUAGAUGAGCCCCCAGGAAGGCCUGGGUGGUCCUUGUGCACGGAGGGCCGGAGAGACCACAGGGGUGCUGCCCACUCGGCUGUGUUCCCGGCCUCACUCCCCACUCGCUGCGGCCCUCCUGCUCCUUUGCAGCUCUGGUGCGGGGGCCCUGCUGCCCCCUCAGCAUGGCGGGGCCUGGGCCCAGUGCGAGGCUCCAGCCCGCCUACUGGAGGGUCGUCAUGGGCCAACCCCGACUCCUGGGAACGAGUGUGCAGAGGGUGUAACCCAGCCCAGGGAGGCCCAGGUGAGCGGGGAGGCUGCCCUGCUCCAGCUUCUGCUGCACAGGCCGCGAGGGCCCUCCCGGCCUCUGACCCCUCGCCUUUCACGAGGAGCUCGGGGCGGCCAAGGAGAGCCCUGCCCCUCCCCGAUUCGGGGUCUGACUCCUUUCGGGGCGUCCUGCUCUGGUUUGUGCAGGCUUUCUGUGUCCCCCAGGCCCUCUACCGGGAGCAGCUGGGGCCCCGCCGCUGGCACCAGCCGUCCAGGGCCUCCUGGUUGAUGAGGGGACGGAUGGGACCUGGUGAGGCCGCGGGUGAUGGUGUCGCCACGGCCCUGGCAUGGAUGGACAGAACGCACUCGACCUCUGGCUUGACCUCAUCCCUUAUUCCCCGACUCGGCCCCUUCACGGCACGGGGCCCGGCGGGCAUCGGGGGACAGACUCCCGAAAGACGAUGUCAGGGCAGAGUGAGGAGGGGGCUGUGUCCGGACCCGCACCCCAAGCCGCGGGGCAGCGGGGUCUCUGCCUGCUCCUCUGGGGCCCCGUCCAGUGGCACCUGCAGUGGCUGAGCGGUGUGCCUAGCUUCUCCACGCCCCAGGAGCAGCACGGGCCCGCGGCAGCCAGGAGGGGCAGCAGGGUCAUGGUGGGGAGCUCCUGCCCGGCUCCCCAGACGGCAGCUGCAGCCUCUGCACCGGCCCCUCCUUCCUGCUCCCUCUCUGGGCAAAGACGUUGGCACCGGUGCCUGGAGGGGCCGGGACUGCUCCGCGGAGCCCACCCCCAGCCCACGGCCCUAGCUUACACAUGUGAUGCUGAGGAGGGUGCAGGGCCAGCCUGCAGCACUGCUCACGGCCACCCAGCGCACGGUCACCGCGUCCGUGGCGACGGGCUGUGACUCCGUGAGGCAGACUGGGUCAGGGCUGCUCAGCCGGCCAGCCCAUCCCCACCCAAGCCCCGGUCACACCACAGCCCCACCACAACCCUCAAGCAUCCCACCCUCUGCCCCUGUUCCCUCACCUUCUCCCGGGGGUCUGGCAGGCACAGGGAGACCAGCAUGCGAGUGCCGUGCUCCCACACCAGCUCCCAGAGCUCUGCGGGCCCCGGUCAGCAUGACGUGAUCGCGGCCAGAGGGCCCGCCCUGCAAAGCACAGGGUGUCCCCUGCCCAUCUCAGCUCUAGGACCCCCAGCCUCCCAGGCCCAGACCAGGAAGCACCAAUGGCCCAAGGGCAUGGUCCCACGGGGAAGAGCCAGGCUUCGGGCAUCUCUCCAGCAGGGCCGUCCUCUGUCGGAGGGGACUGCCCGUGACAACAGCCGUCUGCGGGACGAGGGUAAGGGUGAGGCUGCCGGAGGUCCCAGCCUGGACGACGCCCGAUGCCCCGUCCACCCGCAAGCCCACUGGCACUCACGGGAGGCCAUGCCGUCCUGCCCACGGCCAGGAGAGGGCAUCGCAGAGCCGGCCUGGUCCUUGAGGGCCUGGAGCGGAAGCUGGGGAGGGUGAUGGGCAGAGGGGCACCAUGAGACAGGCCGCAGAAGUGGUGGCACGAGGGGACCCCGCGUCGUCGUGCCGCCCGGCCCGCAGCUACCUUGUGCUCCCCCAAGAAGCCAGCGUCGCCAGAUCACGCCUGGGGAGAAAGCUCCGCACGGGGAUGGGCUGCGGCCUGGGCGGGGCGCGGGGCGCGGGCUGCGUCAGGGGUGCCAGAGGCUGCCCAGCUCCCGCUCUUGGUCUCCUCGGCCCUGCGUGGACGGAGCUGGCAGCCUGUUGGUGGGAGGGACGGGGACCCUGCCCCGCACCGGGCCAGGUUCCCGGUGCUGCACGUACUCAGAGGUGCCGGGGGGCCCCUUCCAGGACCCUGCUCAGGAGGCAGCCGUGCAGGAAGAUGUACUGGCUCUGGGGGGUGGGAAGGGAGGCGGUCAGCUAAGGGACUGUGGCCCAGCAGGGAGACUUCCAGGCCCUGACCAGCCAGACGGCCUGGGGCAGGGGAGGGGCUUUGGGGAGCCUUCCCGUGGGGCCCCUCCGCAUCAGAGCUGGCAGGGGCCCUCCUACCUCCCACCCCCGGCACAAAGGGAAACAGAAGCCCCGAUAGGAGGGUGAGUGUCCGAGCCCCUCCCCCGGGGUUCUUCCCUGGCCCCUGGGGACCCUGUGGCCCGGCCAUCUGCCCCACCCCCUCCCAGGGUCCGCAGCCCACCCGCCUUGCCCUCACCGGGGUCUGGAUCAUGAGGGGCCAGUCCAGGCGCAGCGAGCACACCGUGUGGAAUAGUCCACUGUAUCCUCCUCCCCCAGCUGCUGCAGCAGCCCUGACAGGGCCACAAAGGUGUCCGAGCGGCCCACGCCUGCACUGCGGGUCAGAGGGCCCAGGGCUGUGAAGCGGGGCCCUUCCCUAGCCCACCCCACCACCCGCCACCUGCCCCGCCUGCCUGCACCAGGACGGGCCCCGCUCCUCUCCCGAACAGGGUCCACAAAGGCCAGCAGGGAGCUGGGGGUCUCGGGGACGCUGUGGUCUGGCCGGGUGGCGAACUGCGGUUGCUUCACUGUCCACUGCAGUUGCUGGGCAGCCCGGAGGCUGGGGGGCAGAGGAGCCGCUUCUCCGUCCCCUCCUAACCCACUGUCCUCUGCUCAGCCCUCAUUCUGUCACCAGAUCUUGAGGGCGGGGUGGUGCCCCUCAUGCUGGGAUGCUCCCCUCAGCUCCUCCAACCCCCCGGGAAGUCUGCCUGCAGGGGGCCCAAGGGGGAGGGGGACACUGCUGCCCCAGGAGGACACAGCCUGGCAUGGCGGAUGGGGCCCAGGGGUCUGGGGUGAGCGGGGGCCCUGAGCCGGGUGCAGGACAGGGCAGAAACCGUCCCUUCUCACCCAACUUCGGAUGACCCUUAGCCUUCCCUGUGCUUCCCUACCCUCCCUAACCUCCAACCUCCUGGGCAAGGGGGAGGCCAGGGGCCCAGGAGGUGAGCUGACCUUCUAAGGAGUCACAACCCCUCGCUCGCGGGUACGCACGUGCUGCAUCUGGAAGUCCCGCGCGGUCCACUCGUCCUCGGGCUCCUCGGCCAGGAGGUGGACGAUGUGACCGUGGGUGACAGGGGUGGAGUCGGCUGGCCAGUGGUGCUCACGUAGCACCUAGGGCCAGAGGGAUGUGGGCCCCCCCAUCACUGCCACCCCUGCUGUAUCAGCACCUCCCACCCACCUGUCUGUCUCCGCCACCCUGCUUGUCCGGAAGCCUCUCUCCCCCGGCCCGGCCCUAGCACCUCCACCCCCAGACCUCUAUGUGACCCCUGGGACUUCCAGGCAGCUGCCGGGCUCCUGUGCAAACUGCAUGGCCUUACUUAGGACCACCUGGCCUGGCCUCUCCGCUCCAGCUGGAGGGGCUCCAAGGUGUCCCAGGGCCCCGCACGGAGCAGGGCACAGGCACGUUUAAAACAAGGACGCAGACUGGGCCUGGAGCAGGGGAGGGUGGUCUCGGCGAGAAACAGCAGAGGCGAUGGAGGCGAGUCCAGCUGGGAGCCUGGGUUCCUGGUCUCCUUCCCUGCCCCAUCCUGGGCGGCCUGGGGACCCCACCAACCCCCAGGCCUCACCUGGCCUCCCAGACCCACAGCUGGUCCUGUGGGGAGAGCCUGCCACCUGGUGGCCACCCCGGGGGCUGUGGCACGCUCACCCGCCCACUCUCCAUGCCCACCGUCAGCAUGACGACGACCUGGACCUGCUGCUCCCACGCCAGCUGCCAGAAGUCCUCCAGGGUCUUCUUCAGAAGCCCCUGGGUGGUGAUGAACUCCUGUGGGCGGGUGUAGCCCUGGGGGCGGGCAGGAUCACAUUAACUGGGGCCCCAGCCCACAGCCACGCAUCCCACGGGUGACCUCUGGGAGUGAGGACUUCGUGUGCAGGUCGAUACGUGUGCACACACGUGAACACACGUGCGCCAAGGACCCAAAUCAGGAGGGUGACUUGGAGACAGCCCCACCUCGAUGGGACGAUGACAAGACACUGAUGGCCCCGAAGUAGCCUCCCCAGGCCACCCCUUCACCACCCGACCCACACCACCUGCAUUUCUCCCAGGGCUCCACUGCCCACCCAGCUCCCCGAGGCCAGCACUCAGUCCCUCCUCCAACAGCCCCAUCUGCCUCUCCUGCCUCCGCCCGAUGACCCCGCCCCACUCUGUCCACAUGCACCGCCCGGCUCUUCUCUGGGUCUGUCCAGCUGCAAUGUCUGCCCCUCCUUCAUCACUUAUCAGGAUUCUGCUCAUCCUUCAAGAGAUCAAAUGCCCCCUCCUCCAGGAAGCCUUUCUUGAUUCCAAGGUGGACUAAACGUUCCUUCUUCACGAGCUCUGAGCACCACACGUGUGCCCUUAUUACAGCACCCGUCAUGCCGCGUGGCAGGUGUCACACACAUACACACACACACACACACACAACUCCUGCUCCUUUGAAGGUGGGAAUCCGUGUAGCCCAGCCCUGCCUCCUGCGGUCCCAGCACAGCGACCAACACACAAGACACACAAGCUGGCAGUCUUCGUGGACGGCUAGGGCAGGACAGCGUGUCCUGCAAACCGGGCCCCUCCCGAGUGGACGCCGCAGCCAGCGCGCAGGCGGCUCUACCUGCUGGUGGAUGAAGCUGGUGUUGACGUAAUGGGAGUGAGGCUCUCCGUCCAGCGGGGUCAGCCUGACCCGGCAGUGGUCAUCUGCAGACGCUAAAAGCCGCGCAUUCAGGGCGGGCACACGCAGCGCCUCCUCCGGGCCGAGCUCCGGCCCGCACACCCCUGCCUGCCAUGCUCACAGGGCAGCACGAGAGGGUAGCGGUUCUCGUGGUGUCGGCAGGGUGCAGAGACGGGGGCCGAAGCAGACCCAUGUCACCCCCACACCGGGGGCGGGGUCGUGCACAGCUGGGGCCCCCCAGAGCCUGGGGGCGGCAGAGGCCUCACCUCGAACUCCUGAAAGCCUGGUGGGCACAGGUGCUCUUGGCCUCGUAGCCCUGUCGGAAGCUGUGGGCAGGGAUGGGCCAGUGGGUCCACCUGGGGGAAGAGGGAAGAGUAGGCGGCGGCCCUGGUGUGCAGAGUCCUGCCCUGGGCGCCGGUAGGGGCCAGAGAGAGGGGGCAGGGCAAACAGGACCACACUCGGAGGAGGUGGGCAUGAGUGUCUGAGGCCCCGACCCCGGGUCCUGAGGAUGGCUCUGGGCACAGCUGCUCGCAGCGCCGCUCAGGGUGCGGCCGAGAGAAGGAAGAACAGUAGCGAUAUUGGGAAGAUUGCGAAAUCCAACGUCGGAGAGAAAGAAGGAGACGGAAGCGACUUGGCCCGCAACCGUCCAGGUGCACAGCAGGCCCAGCAAGGCGCCAAGCGCAAGGCCACCGCCCGCUGCGACACCCACCGCUGCUGGGAGGGGCUCUGUGGACGGAGACGGAAGGGUGAGCUGGGCAGCCCCGACCUGCCACCCCGUGAGACACACCAGCCUCCCCUGGGCCCGAGACCCCCUGGGUGGAGGGCGCAGUGACAGCCCUCACCCUGCAGAAGGAAGUCCCAGAUGCCGAACCGAGGCCAGAGAAGGCUGCCGGGGGGACCACCCUGGACGGGCACCGAGAACGGCCUGUGAGCCCUCCCUGCCCCCAGCUCCUGAGCAGGGCCCCCCCAACACCCCUGAGGACGAGAGGGCGGAGGCCUGGCCCCGCACCUUCUGGAGCUGCUCCGUCCAGUACGGUCGCCACGUGCCCUGGGCUACUCUACUGAGCACCUGAACCGGAGCGGCUCCGAUUUCAGAUUCGCCGCAAGCAUAAGCUACACACAGGAUUUCAAAGUCUUAUUGAUUAGAAGAAAAGGAUGUAAAACCUCUCAUUAAUCAUUUAAAAAAGUCGAUCACACGUUGAUACGAUAUCUUUAGUAUCUUGGUUUAAAUAAAACGUGGCUGAGAUUAACGGCACCUGUUUAUUUUUCUCUUUG
Molecule: long non-coding RNA, 7280 nt
Organism: Aethalodelphis obliquidens (Pacific white-sided dolphin)
Lineage: Eukaryota; Metazoa; Chordata; Mammalia; Artiodactyla; Delphinidae
Exons: 3
Source: RefSeq, a predicted model, not a curated record